RNAcentral lists this ribosomal RNA (497 nucleotides) under uncultured bacterium. Its description in RNAcentral is "partial 16S ribosomal RNA". It matches the Rfam family "Bacterial small subunit ribosomal RNA", at positions 28 to 507 of the family's 1533-position model. The record is from RNAcentral.
GACGAACGCUGGCGGCGUGCCUAAUACAUGCAAGUCGAACGAACAGACGAGGAUUUUGUUCUUGGGACGUGAGCGGCGGACAAGGGGGUAACAAGUGGAUAACAAACCUAUACGCCUUGGAUAACUUCGGGAAGCAGGAGCUGAUAACGGGUGAUAUAUUGAACUGCUUGGUUCGAUAGUGAAAGACGGAUUUGCUGUGACUUAUAGGUGGAGGCGCGCCGCAUUAGCUAGUUGGUAAGGUAACGGGUUACCGAGGCUACGAUGCGUAGCCGCCCUGGGAGGGGGUUCGCCCACACUGGGAGUGAGACACGCUGCAGACACCUACAGGAGGCAGCAGUAGGGAAUCUUCCGCAAUAGGCGCGAGCUUGACGGGGCGACGCCGCGUGAGAGAUGAAGGUCCUCGGAUCGUGAGACUCUGUUUUGAGAGAAGAACAAAUGUGUAAGUAUCUGUGCACGUCUAGACGGUACCGAAUCAGAAAGCGCCGGCUAACUACGUG